GCCGAAUUAGCUUAAUUGGUAGAGCAGUCGUUUUGUAAGCGAACGGUUAGGAGUUCAAGUCUCUUAUUCGGCA
This 73-nucleotide transfer RNA is filed under the name Blastocladiella emersonii. Its description in RNAcentral is "tRNA-Thr". It matches the Rfam family "tRNA". From Rfam's summary of the family: Transfer RNA (tRNA) molecules are approximately 80 nucleotides in length. Their secondary structure includes four short double-helical elements and three loops (D, anti-codon, and T loops). Further hydrogen bonds mediate the characteristic L-shaped molecular structure. tRNAs have two regions of fundamental functional importance: the anti-codon, which is responsible for specific mRNA codon recognition, and the 3' end, to which the tRNAs corresponding amino acid is attached (by aminoacyl-tRNA synthetases). tRNAs cope with the degeneracy of the genetic code in two manners: having more than one tRNA (with a specific anti-codon) for a particular amino acid; and 'wobble' base-pairing, i.e. permitting non-standard base-pairing at the 3rd anti-codon position. The record is from RNAcentral. Lineage: Eukaryota; Fungi; Blastocladiomycota; Blastocladiomycetes; Blastocladiales; Blastocladiaceae. RNAcentral also lists the same sequence under 3 other names.